This 497-nucleotide ribosomal RNA is filed under the name uncultured bacterium. Its description in RNAcentral is "partial 16S ribosomal RNA". It matches the Rfam family "Bacterial small subunit ribosomal RNA", at positions 28 to 507 of the family's 1533-position model. The record is from RNAcentral.
GAUGAACGCUGGCGGCGUGCCUAAUACAUGCAAGUCGAGCGAACGGACGAGAAGCUUGCUUCUCUGAUGUUAGCGGCGGACGGGUGAGUAACACGUGGAUAACCUACCUAUAAGACUGGGAUAACUUCGGGAAACCGGAGCUAAUACCGGAUAAUAUUUUGAACCGCAUGGUUCAAAAGUGAAAGACGGUCUUGCUGUCACUUAUAGAUGGAUCCGCGCUGCAUUAGCUAGUUGGUAAGGUAACGGCUUACCAAGGCAACGAUGCAUAGCCGACCCGAGAGGGUGAUCGGCCACACUGGAACUGAGACACGGUCCAGACUCCUACGGGAGGCAGCGGUAGGGAAUCUUCCGCAAUGGGCGAAAGCCUGACGGAGCAACGCCGCGUGAGUGAUGAAGGUCUUCGGAUCGUAAAACUCUGUUAUUAGGGAAGAACAUAUGUGUAAGUAACUGUGCACAUCUUGACGGUACCUAAUCAGAAAGCCACGGCUAACUACGUG